Molecule: long non-coding RNA, 5436 nt
Filed under: Sus scrofa (pig)
Lineage: Eukaryota; Metazoa; Chordata; Mammalia; Artiodactyla; Suidae
Description: lncRNA (ENSSSCG00000060892.1)
Source: RNAcentral
AGAAAUGGUUCUCUGUGUUGUGAGGCUGCAAGAUCACCCAGGGAGAGUGGGAUCAAAUAGUCCAGAACAUCUGACACACUGAAUGUAUGUGAGUACAACGUUCAUAGCUUUAAGAAAAAGGAAAAAGAAAAACUGUCUUGCAUAUGACUUAAAGUGCUUUGGAGUAUAUAGAUGGUUUGUGAAUUAAUCUGGUUAAUUGCUGGAUCCUUGGCAUGGACAAGCUCUCGCUGGUGGGGGCAGGGGGAUUGUAUGUCUGUCUGUGAUGAGGGCUUGACUUUUCAUUUAAGGAUGCGCCUUCUAUUUUUGCCAAGAAUUAUUGUCUCUCAUAAUUGCUUUGCUUCUAGUAAAACUUUGAAAGCCUGCUUUCUGACCACAACUGUGUAUAUUUCCCACUUCUCCCACUCUCUGACUCCUACUGAAGACAUGACUUGUCAUCUUUUUAUCUUUCUCUGUCAUUCUGGCCCUUCAGAUACCACAUUUAGUUUUAUUUGCCUUGCCUAAAUCCAAAUCAGCCAAAUGGACAGUUCCCUCUAACCUUCUUUUUCUCUAUCAACUAUCUUCUGCCAUACUAACCUUGCUAAUUGUCAAGUUAGUAUUUAUUUGUGUGAUUAUUUCAUGUGUCUUUUACUAGAUCAAAUGCUCCAUUCAGGCCAGGAUCAGGCUUCACGCUUGUUUGCUGAUGUAUCAUAGAUGGUCAUAUGAUGGUCAUUUUCCAGGCUGCCCGACCCUAUUUGGUCCUGAGUGGAAUUUGGCCACUAAAGCGUUUGGUCCAGCCCUUUCAUGGUUGUUCAAAAUUUAUGUUUUUUGGGGGCUCCAAAUUUUCCUAGAUUGUCUCAAUUUUGUAUAAAACAACCUCUUGCAGUCUUGGAAAGAUGAGGCUAUCUGGUGUGAACAUCACUGAUUUUUUUCUUCCUUAGACUUUAAAAUAGCUCUGUUUCUGUCUAUUGUCUAUUUCCUAUUACUCAAAAUAACUUUGUACCCAUAUCAAAUUUUAAUCUUAACACUUUCCAUUUCUUUAUAAACUUUAUUAAAUCAGCUUUUCCUCCCUGAUUUGCCUUUCUCCAUGGGUCUAGUUCCUUCCCCACAGGUAGAAAAAUCAUCAUGCUUUUAUGUCUCUUACCUUGGAAAAAAUUCAGCCAAUCAAAAUCAAAACAAGCCUCCUUCACCUCACUAUUAUCUUAUCCUCCACCCACUUAGCCACUUUUACCCAUGCAAAGUCUCUCCAGGACAGUCAAUGUUCUUUCCAAACUCAUGGUAAAUCCAACAAAAGUAGAAGCUAUUUUUAUUUUGUAGAACAGUGUAUUUCUAGUACCUCGCACAAUAUCUAAAAUGGUAGGGGCUCAAUAAUUAAAUGAGUUAAUUUUAGCUACCCUUUCACUUCCCACUCUCUACCUGAGUGUUAAAUUUUUGCUUCAAGCACUGCUUAAAUUACUCUUACCAAAAUAACCAACCAAAAUAGCUCCUUUCUCUAUUAGUCAAUCCAUGACCGCAUUUCAAAUACUUCUCUUCUAUGCUAUAUGAUAAUCUCAAUAACUUUUAAUUAUGUAUAUGCCUUAUCACUUCAUCAGAGCCUGAGCCCCUAGACUCAGGACAAUUAACCUGGUAUUUCCUUAGUCCUCACAACUUUUAACAAAGUCUUUGCUAGUCAGUAAUUACUAGUGAGUUGAAUUAAUACCUUUAAAUACUGAAGGAUCCUCUAAAAUUUCUCUGACCACAUUUGUGUUAUGUUUGAUUAAAUAUUUUGCUCCUAACAUAAAAAUGUGAAAAUAUAAUGGAAUAACCUUUUAUAAACCAUUUCAAAUCAUAAAAAUAAUAAUUAAAAAAAAAGAACCCUGUGCUGGGAGUUCCCAUUGUAGCUUAGCGGUUAAUGAACCCCUCUAGUAUCAAUGAGGAUGCAGAUUUGAUCCCUGGCCUCACUCAUUGGGUUAAGGAUCUGGUAUUGCUGCGGCUAUAGUGUAGGCCGGCAGCUGCAGCUCCAAUUUGACCCCUGGUCUGGGAACCUCCAUUUGCCAUGGGUGUGGCUCUAAAAAAAAAUGUUAGUUAUUAUUUAGUGAAACAGAUAUUGAAUACAGGUUUUAAAACAUGGAUUAUUGCAAUUAUAAUGGCAUUCUCUGAUAUGUACCUACAUUCAUGUAAUGAAUUAGCAAAUUUCAUCAAUUCUAUAAUGCACCUUUUUUUGUAAAAAAAAUUUUCCACCUCUAAUAAAACUGAAGCACAUUUUAUUACAGUCCAAAAUAGUGUAACUUUAGCAUGUUUUCCUUUUAUGUGAUACAUAAAACAGCAGAGUCUAUGAUAGCUCAAUAUUUUAAUUUUUUAGAUUACCAGACAUUGGUGAGUGAGCGUAUGUAUGUAUGUGUGAAUGUGGCGAUGAAUUCUGAAGGAAAGGUUUUACUUCCUCACUUAUGUCUGUAUAGAAGUCCUUGCUAUUUUAAAUCAUGAAAAUCACUACCAGAAACCCCCAUAAAAUUCAACUAGUGAAACAAAGAAAUUAGUUAAUUUCACUGCUUGAGUUAUAGUAUUUUAAAGAAAAUAUUUGUAUUACAUUUCCCUUUUAAACUUUCAAAUAGUCUUUGAAGUCAAGUAUGUUUUGGAUCAGUUUACAAAGAGAAAAAUGUUUAUGCUGAUUCCUUAGGAAGAAGUAUUAAAAAUAAAUCAAAAGUUUUUCUUCCCUCUGAGAUAAUAUCUUCUUUUGUAAAAUGGUCAUACAGUGGCCUAUUACAUAUAUCUUUCCUCCCAGUAAUUCAGCAGAAAUCAAGCUCUGUGUGGAACACUAAAGUGAACUAUAAUAUGUCAAAAAAAAAAAAUGCCUCUGAGUACUUUCCACUUGUAGGCAAAGACAGCAUUUAGUUAUAAUAAUAGAAAUUACAUUUUAAUCAAUAUGCCCUUUGCUAUUAAUCCAUUUUUGACUGCCUGAAGAGAUUUUAAUAACAUGUUAGGAAAAUCAUCUAUCUAACAAGUCAUUCCAAAGAGAAAAGGGCUGGAAUCCUUUCAUUUCUAAUUCAACAUGGACAGAAUUGACAUUAUAUUUUCCACUAUUGCUACUCUUGGAAGAAGCUAGCAUUUCUUGUAUACUCAAGAUAUCUUUUUUGGCAACUUAAAAAAUCACCUGUGGUUUUUACUGAUGGCACAAAUUGAACAGCCAUCAGCAAAUACACACUUUCAUACCUUUGGUCAAGACUAGAUAUUUGAUGAUAUUCUUUAAUGGUCAGUGUCUGCUAUAAUACAGAUAUAGCAAGGUUUUACUUUUACCAAAAUGUGCUUAUUUUUCGACUAAUUUUACUUUAUAAAAUAGCAGUGCACACUCAUUUCAGGAAUAUCAGAGAAUACAUAGAAGAUCCUUACAUAUUGCAACAAAGGUGCUAUUUUGUUGCCUAAUACAGCAUUUAUUAUCAAGCAUGCACAAUGCAUUCAAAUAUUUUUUUCUGUGUACAUAGUUCAAUUUUUUCAUUUAUUGUAAAUAUUUUUUCUUUUUGUUUGCUGUGUGUAAUUUUUUUUAAGUUUGUGUGAUAUUUCUUUGUAUAUAUUAAUCUUGAUUUAUGUGGCUAAUCCUCUAGCAUUUAAAAUAUAUUAUAUCCAAAUAAAUUAUAUUACCAGGAAAGUGCCAGGAUGAAUAUGCUCAUAACUUUUUGUGGCUAUGCUUUACUAUUUUAGUAGAAUCAACUCCCCCAAAUAAAAUAUUGCCAUAGCAGACACACAUAAUUCAAGUGUUUUACAUCCCUACUGUAUCCAAAAAGUAAUAUAGAAGAGUGAUUCAGGUUUGUUUUAGUAUUUAUCAGUCUGAUAGAAGCUGUCUUAGUCCAUUUGGGCUGCUUUAACAAAAUAUCAUUGAUUACCUGGCUUAUACAACAAAUAAUCAUUUCUUACGGUUCUGGAGGCUGGAAGUCCAAGAUCGAGGGACCAGCAGGUUGGGUGUCUGGUGAGUCCCUGCUUCCUCAUCCGUAGACAGUCAUCUUUACAUGGAAGAUGAUGAGAGGAAGUUCUCCGGGGUCACUUACAAGGACACAAAUCCAAUUACGAGGCUCUACCUUCAUGACUUAAGCACCUCCCAAAGGCCCACCUCCAGAUACCAUCACGUUGAGGAUUUGGUUUCCAUAUAUGAACUUGGGGAAGAAGUGGGGGUGUAAACAUUCAGCCUAUAGCACAUGACAGUGCUCUUCUGACAUGGCAGUGCUUAUUUUGAUUUUUCUUCCUUCAUCCCUAAUGAGCAUUCAUAAGUUUCAUAUCACUCUUAUUCUCUGUUUUUAUUUUUUCCUUUAUUAAGUGUGCACUUAUGUUCUCAUCUGAGUCAUGUUUACUGAGAAUGAACUAAGAGGAGAGAACACAGCCUAGAACGUGGAGGUCAUAGGGAAGAAGGAAAGAAGGCAUUCUCCCCAGUCAGCAUCACUGCCUGCUGGAAAGUAAUCUUUUCCCCUGGAGACUUGUGAUGAAUUUGGCAUUUGUACUGAAUGCCAAAGCAAACAUGCAAUUUAGUGAAACUCCAGUCUGACUGUUUCUUGGCAUUUAUGUUGAUUAAAGGAAAAACGACUUACACUUUAACUUUCUUUUUUAAGCCACCUGUUAGCAGGUGGUAUCAGCACUGUUAACAGUAAAGGUUGGGAUCUUUCUACAUUAAAGUAAGAACAUAGAGGAAAUCAGAACAUUUAUGGUCUAUCUACAGUGUUUGGAGUGGACUGAAGUUUCCGUCCUUUUUUUUUUUUUUCUGUCAAUAGACAUGGAAUGUUUUUCCAAAUCCAUUUCAUCGAUCUGUAUUUUUCUAGUGCCUAGAAUAAUGCCUGUCGUAUGGGAAAAGUUCAAGAAAUGCAUAAUUAUCUCUGCUUUACAGAUGAUAAAAACCAAUAUCAGAGAAACUGAGCAAUGUUUAUUAGAGUCACAGAGCUUGAAAGGGACAGUCUCAAAAUUCAGCAUUAGUUUGUCCAAACCCAAAUACUCUGCUCUAAUCAUUUCAUCUAACAUCUCUUCCUAAGAUAAUGUUUCUCUUGUUAUACAUUCAUUCAAAUGUAAGAUAGCCUAUAUAAUGCUGUAGUGCAAAUGACCUCAAUGGUUUAAAAACUCCUAGGCUUUCUUCUCAUGUACACUACGUAGUAUUUGCUCAUGAGCUGAAGGCUUUGCUCCUCACCAUCUUCUCUCCAGAAUCCAGGGUGACAUAGCAAAUCCUCCCUGGACCACUCAGGGUUAUGAAGACUAAGGAACAAAGUGCAAAAAUCUUGUCCUGUCUGGUUAAAGCUCCAUUCAGAAGUGGCAUGUGAUACCUCUGCUCUCAUUUUGCUGGUGAAAGCAAGUCACCUAAUUUCAUGAGUGUCAUCAAACUUCAUGGGAGCUGGAGGGUGGGAAAGUGAAGUUGGGUGGGCCCAAGCUUUUACAGGGGUGCUUAAAAGUGAAAGAGGAUGGUGGGAGAAACAGGAUGGCAGGAGUCUGAGAAGGAGCUAUGAAGAUGGU